This 38304-nucleotide long non-coding RNA is filed under the name Populus trichocarpa (black cottonwood). RNAcentral's name for it is "long non-coding RNA (PTRI_LNC002684)". The record is from RNAcentral. Lineage: Eukaryota; Viridiplantae; Streptophyta; Magnoliopsida; Malpighiales; Salicaceae.
AAAAUUACAAUGAAGUGAUGUCCACCUUUCCGAAAGUUAAAGGCUUGAAUGGGUAUGAUUAUUACCUGUACCAAGGCUUUUGGUACGCUCCCUUCUUCUUGGAAGGACUCAUGUCUGUUCAAGAGGGCUUCAAUCCUCAAUCCACUGAUAUAUUUGUCGCCAGUUUUCCAAAAACUGGCACAACUUGGCUUAAGGCCCUCACUUUUGCUAUUGUCACACGAUCCCGUUUAAGUGGUUCAACAACUAGUUCUUUACUUACCAAGAUGCCACAUGACUGUGUUCCUUUUUUGGAAUAUGACCUUGCUCAAAACCCCAGUAAUCGGGACUUGGCAAUUCCUCUGGUAUCUACUCAUGUUCCUUACACUUGUUUACCUAAAUCUAUCAUUUCUUCUAGUUGCAAGAUUAUUUACAUUUGCAGGGACGCAAAGGAUGCUUUUGUUUCUUUGUGGUACUUUCUUGCCAGGCUGCAAAUGUCGAAAAAUGUUGAACCUCUUCCUCUGGAAGGGGCAUUUGAGUUGUUUUGCAAUGGAAUUGCAAAUUUUGGACCAUAUUGGGACCAUGUUUUAGGGUAUUGGAGAGCAAGCUUCGAGUUCCCUGAGAAGAUAUUGUUCUUGACAUAUGAGGAAAUGAAGCAAGACACAGCUGCUCAUGUUAAGAAAUUAGCUGAGUUCAUGGGUUGUUCUUUCACCUUAGAGGAAGAGGAGGGAGGGGAGGUGCAAAAGAUAAUAAGCAUGUGUAGUUUUGAGAAGUUGAGCAGCUUGGAGGUCAAUAAAAAUGGGAAGCACCGUCCGGACACAUCACUUGCUAUUCAAAACAGUGUAUACUUCAGGAGAGGUGAGAUAGGCGACUGGGCAAAUCACUUGACACCUGAAAUGGGAGCACGUCUAGAUGACAUAAUGGAGCAGAAACUCAAGGGUUCAGGCUUGAAGCUGCCCAGGUGACUGUGCCUAGGGUCCCAUUUGCUUAUGAUUAUUGCCCAAGCGGGUUCAUCAAAAGCUGUUAUCAACAUCUCGUGAAACAGAAACUGUGUAUCCCAAUAAAUACCCUCUUUGUUCAUCUCUUGUAUUUCCUAUCAAGUAUUCACAUUUUGUGAAUCAUCCAUGUCAAUAAGCAAUGUUCUUUUGUGAAUCUGUGUUUGUGACUUUCAUUGAUUUCCUUGCAUGCUUGUAAGAAUUCAAAAUGGGAUUCGUUUUUUUAUUUAUUUAUUUAACACAAGUGCAUGCAUUCCAUUAAUCAGUUGGAUAAAAAAUAAAUUUACUCUAAUAUAUAAUAUUAGAGUGUUUUCUUCACAGAAAUUGCAGUGUGUUUUCUUCACAGUUAUACAUGUUUUAAAAGAACCGAGACAACCCAUACAUGAGGGCGGAGCAAAGACCAACCGAGACAACCAUCCAUUAAGAUUGUUGAAUUGCAGAUCAAAUGAACGUAGGCGGCACAUCUGCUGGAAGGAUCUCGAAAUGCCUUGUAAUUGGUUAAAAUAAAGAUCAAGAUCUGUAGGAGAACUCGUGUUUUCCACUCCUAAAAUAAGCCCAGUUGCCGGCUUCAUGUGCAACAGAGGCACAUAGAGAAUCUGAAAGCAGUUUUUAUGCACUAUCAGCAGAAUAAUUUGAUCAGUCAGAAUGAAAACCCCCCCCCCCAGGCUCACAAAUCUUCUUACUUCAAACAAAUCUUUUGGAACCGAUAUAUAUGUCGAGUGAUGGCUUGAUUUAUACCGGAGAUUGUGUUGGAAAAUUAAAGAAGCAUGGCUUAAUUUGUACCUUGGAUGCGCAAAUUGAUUACAGGGAAAAAAUGACAGAAAGUGAGUUGCAGGGAAUGAAAAAGGCAUUAGUAAACUCAACACCUUUCAGGGUAUCGUUCCUUGGUUUGCUCCCUUUUAUUUCUUAUUUUGUUUUUCCUGCCAUUGUCUAAUGUUUUUCUAACUCGCAGUCUGGUCUCUGCAGAGAAUGAGAAAGCACAAACUCUUUAAGAGAAGAUAUUCUCCGGCAAUGGCAUCAAACAGAAAAGUCCGACGUCAACUAAGUGAGUGUAUAGCGUUGCUGCUGUGUUUACAGAAAAACACCAUUGUCAUGUGUUUGGUUACGGUCUAAACAUAAUUUUUUAUCGGUGAGACCCAUUACCAUUUGCAUUUAAACCGCAAGAUAACCAGAAGCAACUUUAAGCUGCGUUUUGUUUUGAGUUGCAAAUUGUGUUAUAAAUAGAGGCCACAAGAAAAAGAGCAGAAACAGAGCAGUGAAUAGUGAUUAGUGGAGAGCAACUCCCUCUCACCACUGACCUCCGCCAGCCACUGCUUUUUCUCUUCUCCUUCUCUUCUCGUUCUCCUUCGUCUUCUGCAUUCUCUACUGUUCACGUGAACAAUGGAGAGUGGAGAGCAGCUCACCAUCAACCCCUGCUGUUUCCACCGCCAGCCACUGCUCUUCCUCUUCCCCUUCUCCUUCGUCUUUUACGUUCUCCACUGUUAAUGUGAACAGUGGAGAGCAGCUCACCACCGGCCUUCACUAUUUCCACUGCCAGCCACUGCUCUUCCUCUUCCCCUUCCCCUUCUCCUUCCCCUUCUCCUUCUCAUUCAUCUUCUGCAUUCUCCACUGUUCAUGGCCGGACUGGGCCUAGCCCAAACCUAAAUGUAUUUGACUGGGUCCGACCCAGUAAAAUAAAAAAAAAUCCAAAUUUUUUUUCUUAAAUAUUGUGUUUUAUUUGAAAAACUAGUGUUUAAAAUUAUUCAAUGACACUACAUAAUUAUAUUAGAAGGAGAUCGCACGAUGACGUAGCAUGUGCAGAAUUUGAUUGCAAUCCUAAUUUUUUUCCUAAUGAUAUUUUACAUGAUGUAAUGAUAUCUUACCUGAUGUUGGUGCAAGUUCAGGAAGCCAUGGAAACUGUAGUUCUUGUCGGAUGGAUUUCGUAUAUGAUUGAAUUGCAAAUAGUUUAAUGGAACAAUAAAAAAUACUUUAUAUAAAGUAUUGUUUAUUUCAUGAUGUAAUAGCAGUAGUUAAAUCUAUAAUAUUUCAAUUAAAAACCAUCAAUAUUAAUAUAUGUCUUUUUUAGUUAUUUUAUAACCUCAAUUUGAAAAGUAUUCUUUAACCAAACACAUUAAACUACUUUUUGUUCAACCUCAAUUUCAACCACAGUUUUAACCAAACAUAUAUUUUUCCAAACUAAUCUAAACUAAAAGUAUUUUUUAUAAAAACAAUUUUUUUCAAACCACAACAGCUACCACAAUACCAAACACACACAAAAAAAACUGUACUGAUAAGUAAGUUACAAUGCCACCACUGAUUUAGGAUCUGCUUUAGAUCUUAUAAGGUGAAAGUUGAAAGCUAGCAAGAAUCGUCACAGAGAUGAACAGAGAAGUGAAUAGAAUUAGAGGGAGAUACUGCAAUGCAGAGGAAGAAGAAAAACAUUUCUGUGUAUAUUCACUUAUAUUUUUUUACCAGCGCUGUUACAUUCAUUUUAUAUGAACCAAGAUGAGAAGCUUGUUUACGUAAUCUAAUCAACAGUAACAGACUUUGUUAACUGUCUAACAAUAUUAACAAACUUUCUAACCAUUGUAUUCUCUAUUCUCUUGACAGGUGGCAGAAGCAGAGCCUUUGAUAUCUUGACAUUCCCCCUCAAUCACAAGCGUGAAGGAACCAAGCAUAAGAUUGGAACAGUGACGCCGAAAUAAAGGAGUGGAAAGACCUUUAGUUAGGAUAUUAGCAAAUUGAUCGGUAGAAGAGACAUGUUGAACCAACAAAUCACCUUUGACAACACGUUCUCAAACAAAAUGAUAAUCAAUUUGGAGAUGCUUCAUUCUGGAAUGGAAGACUGGAUUGGAAGCAAGGGAAAUAGUUGAGAUAUUGUCAUAAUGAAUUAACGGAGGGAUAUGUAAAGGAAUGUGAAUGUCACAGAGCAGUUGGCGAAUCCAGGCAAGUUUGGCAGCAGCAAUUGCUAGAGCCCGAUACUCAACCUCAGUAGAUGAUCGAGAAACAAUAUGUUGUUUCUUAGAAGCCCAAGAAAUAGGACUGGAGCCGAGGAAAACAAUAGAGCCAGAGACAGAACGUCGAUCAUUGGGAUCGCCAACCCAGUCAGCAUCACUAUAAGCUUGUCGAUUAAGAAGACUAGGCUGAAAAUGAAGGCCAAAAUCAAGGGUACCUUUAAGAUACCGCAAGAUUCUUUUGACAGCCACAACAUAAGAAUGCAUGGGAUUAUGCAUAAAUUGACAAGCUCGGUUCAUAGAGAAAGCAAUAUCGAGCCUGGUGAACGUGAGAUACUGCAAUGCGCCAACUAUGCUCCGAUAUUGUUGUGGAUGAGAGUAGGCUUAGCCAUCAUCUUUGAGCAAAUGAUGAUGAGGAAGACAAGAAGUAUCAAAUGAUUUGGAAUUUUGUAAAUCAACUCUAGCAAGUAAGUCUGUGAUAUAACUUAUCUAGGACACAAACAAACCAGAAGGGAGAUAAGAGAUUUGCAAUCCCAAAAAAUAAUUCAACUUACCGGUAUCCUUCAUAUCAAAUUUCUGAGUCAAGGCAGCAAUGACUGAAGAAAGAAGAGAAUAAUGACUGCUAGUAAGAAUGAUAUCAUCUAAAUAGAGUAGCAAUAUCACAACACUAAGAGAAGAAUGCUGAACAAACAAAGAGGGAUCGACAAGAGAUGCUUGAAACCCCAAACAUGGUAAAAAAACUGGUAAAACGUUCAUUCCAGGCACGAGGAGCCUGUUUAAGGCCAUACAAGGACUUUCUUAGUCUGCAAACAAAGUUAGCAGGAUAAAGCUUACUCAUAAAACCUUGGGGUUGAGUCAUAUAAACCUCCUCAUGAAGAAUACCAUGCAAAAAGGCAUUGGUAACGUCAAGCUACCGUAAGGACCAGUUAAACUGAGCUGCAAGAGUAAGAAUUAAACGAACCAUAGUAGGUUUUAUGACAGGACUGAAAGUUUCAUUAUAGUCAAUUCCUUCCUCUUGAAUGAAACCCUUAGCCACCAAUCGAGCUUUAUGCCUAGCUAUAGAACCAUCCGCAUGCUUCUUGAGUCGGUAGACCCAUUUACAGCCAACAAGAUUCUUAGCAGGUGGGAGAGGCACCAAAUCCUAAGUACCUUAUGCAUGAAGAGCAUCAAUUUCCUCCCACAUAGCAGACUGCCAUUCUGGAAAGGUUGAAGCAGCCUUGAAGGAACUGGGUUCAACCUGAGAAAAAGCAACAGACUAUACAGAGGUAAAGUAAGCCUUUCUUUUGGAAAUACCAUUCUUAAACCUGAUGGUCAUUGGAUGAAGAUUCAUCGGUGAAAGAGGUAAGACCACACACAGAUUCUCAGGUUGGAAGUCAGGAUCAAAUCUAGUGACAAAGAAGCGAUUGGUUUGAAUAAAAAAACAGAAAUACCCUUUAUACUGACCAGCAUACCCCAGAAAAAUACAAGUGGAAGUUUUGGGCUGAAGUUUGUUAGUAUUAUAAGGCUUGAGUAAAGGAAAACAAGCACAACCAAAAAUCCACAAAUGAGUAAUGACCAGUGGAGAACCAUAUAACAGGAAAUAAGGUGAUUUGAGUUGAAGAAUUUGACAGGGCAUUCUAUUAAUCAAAUAAAUAGAAGUAGCACAAGCACGAAACCAAAAUUUUGGAGGUAAAUGGGCAGUUUGUAACAGAGUGAUGGCUGUUUCUAAAAUAUACCUAUGUUUGCGCUCAGCAAGGCCAUUCUGUUUCGGAGUAUAGGGACAGGACAUUUGAUGGACAAUACCCUUGGUAAAGAGGUAAUGUUUGAAUUUAGUACUAAGAUACUCACCACCCCCAUCACUUUGAAAGACUCGAAGAGUAGCAGAAAAUUGAGCAACUAAAAAGGUAUGAAAGUAGGCAAAAAUGGAAUAAACCUCUCCUUUAUUGAUCAUCAGAAAAAACCAAGUAAAUCGAGUACAUUCAUCAAUGAAACUAACAUAAUAUCUGAAACCUUCAACAGAUACAGUGGGAGAAGAACCCCAAACAUCACUAUGUAUGACCUCUCAAGGUUUAACAAAUUUAACUGCGGGAUAGGGAAAAGGAAGUUUAGCAAGUUUACCCUCUAAAAAAGUGGUACAAACGAAUUUGGAUGUGUUUGAAGUGAAAGAAAUCUGGGAUUGAUUUAACAGAGUAGAGGUGACUAUGUUAGAGGGAUGACCAAAACGCUUGUGCCAGAGACUUGUGUUGACCUGUUUACCAAGAUAGCAAACUUGAUUAUUUUGAAAGAGAGAUUAUGAAGGAAACGAAAUGGAGAAAGGAAUAGGAUAUAACCCAGCUCUACACAGUCCCUUGAGAAGGACAUUUCCCAUGAAUUUGUCCUGAAUCCAAAAACCAAAAUCAUCACAAAUAAAUCGACAGUUGUUAUCUUUACACAACUUAUGAACCGAUAAUAAGUGUUGAGAUAGCUUAGGCACAUGCAAAACUUGCUUUAAUUGUAAUGAGCAUUGAUGAACAUCUAAAAUAAAAGAACCAAUAUUAGAAAUGGUCAAACUUGAACCUCCUGUAGUGGUAACAGUAUCAGAUCCUGAGAAAGGUGUAGCCAGAUUGAGUUGAGCCAAAUCAGAAGUCAUAUGUGUUGUGGUGCCAUUAUCAGCCAGCCAUAAUUGUUCAGGAGGGGAAGAAGAUGGAAAAUUGGCAUGCAUAGCACUAAGAUUACUGGAGGGAGGCCUGCCUUGAUAGCUGAAAUUACCUCUAUGAUAACAUUGAACGGCAGAGUGCCCAAAUUUUCAACAAAUUUGACAUUGAAUGGAAGUGGCAAAAGUACUUAGCAGAGUGUGGCGUUGAUAACAAUUAGCAGCUACAUGACCUUUUUUAGUACAAAUUUGACAUGUAGGAAUGUCAAUGCCAGAACCAAGAAUGCCAGGAUUAGAAGUAGGUGGAACCUAAUAAGGGCGUGGACUAGAUUGAUAAUGAUUACGUCCUCUGCCAUAACCCUUAAAAUUAAACCCCUGAUUGCCAAAGUAUCCUCCAGUAGAACCAUGAAAGCUACUGUGAUGACCAUUAAAUCCUCCAUUGAAACCAGAAGGAAAUUAAGAUGGUGGAGCAGACUUGGAGCUAGAAGGAUGAGAAUUAGAGUUACCUUUAUCAAGAGCAAGAGCCUUGCCAGGAGAUAUUUGAUGUUGAGCCAUCACUGCAGGAACAAACAGGGAAGCAGAAUAAGUUUGCUCAAGAAUGGCUUCUUCAGCUAGCAAUUGAGACCGAAAAUCUUUAAGGGAUAACACGUUGUCUCGGUCGCGAACAAUACACCUAAAGGUGUUAUAAUUAGAAGGAAGACCAUUGAGAGCCAAGAUUACAAUAUCAUCAUCUUCAAAAUAAACCCCUGCUACAGAAAGAUGGUCUCGAGCAUCUUUGAUCUUUUACAGAUAUUGAGACACAGAAUCUGAGCCCUUCUUGAUGGUUUGAAGCUCACUUUUCAUCUGAAAAAUAUGUGCCUUAGUAAUUGUGGAAAAUCUAUUCUUCAGUUGAAUCCACAUGUCAUGAGAGCUAACACAUUCAAUAACAUAGGAGAUUGCAGUUGAUGAGAGAGUAGCAAUAAUCAACUGCAUCAAUGUCCGGUCAUACAUUUUCCAAACCUGAUGAUCAUCAGUUUCAACACAUUCAAGGUCAGCAUCUGCAUCAAACCGAUUUGGACACUUUCUUGAUCCAUCAACAAAUCCUAAAAUACCAUAACUCUCAAGUAGAAUAUGCAUAUGAAAAUUCCAGAUGAGAUAAUUUGUGUCAUCCAGCUUGACUGUUACAGCUGUUGAAACUGUAGGAAGUAAACAGGUAAUAGGAGAUUGAACAAUUUAAAGUUGAGAAGUAGUCACCAUUUUAGAGUUCAAGAGAUAGCGAGGAAGAGAAUCACAUACGAUAGGCAUAGUCCCAGAUUUGAGAAGAGAGUUGAAGAAGAAUUUUUCAGUUUGACAAUAUAUCAAAUAGAUGAUAGGUAGAUCAAUUAUUAUGAAAGAAUUGGUUGAUUAAGGCGAUAAUAAUACCAGAAACAGAGAGUAGCAAGAUAUUAGAAGCAGAGAAAUCACAGGAUCACAAGAUAAUAACAAUCCUAAGCUCUGAUACCAUGAAAGCUAGCAAGAAUCAUCACAAAGAUGAACAGAGAAGUGAAUAGAAUUAGAGGGAGAUACUGCAAUGCAGAGGAAGAAGAAAAACAUUUCUGCAUAUAUUCACUUAUAUUUUUACCAACAUUGUUACAUACAUUCAUUUUAUAUGAACCAAGAUGAGAAGCUUGUUUACGUAAUCUAAUCAACAAUAACAGACUUUGUUAACUAUCUAACAAUAUUAACAAACUUUUUAACCAUUAUAUUCUUUAUUCUCUUGACAGGGCAGAAGCAGAGCCUUUGAUAUCUUGACAAAAGUAAAACACAAGGAAAUGCAUGCAUGCACACCACUAAUCUUUGAUUCUGGCGAGAACAGUGAUGACUACACUCUGAACCAAAUAGAAUUACAUUCCGAGAUGAAGAAAUUAAUAACACAGAGCAGUGCUAUAAAGCUACAUGUGAAACCAGAGAUUAAUAAGCAAUGCUGAAAAUUUUAUCAAGCAUAAGACGAGAGAAGCAUAGGACAUAUUUUUCCCACAAUUGAAUAUGUGAAUUGAGCACAGAUUUCCCUGUUGCAAACUGUUCCUAAUUUCUCAAAUGAUUAACUAGAAUACGAGUUGCACUUAAAAUUUUAAAGCAACAUAUAUGCUCUUGAUUUUUAGUGAAUUGCUGAAACAAACAUACAAGCUCGAUCACACCUCUAGAACAGAGUGACAGUUCAUGGUGACCUCAAAGACUGCAUCAAGUCCUCCAAGCUCUCGUAACUUUUCCCUAAAGCCCCCCCCAGUCUUCCUUAAUUACCAUGCCAGAUGUAUCUGAAUGAAUGCAACCCAUACAGUGAAAUGAAUAAGCAAUCAGAAAAGGAGAGAGAGAGAGUGAAAAAAUUUGUCACAAAACUAGAUAAUGGCGACCACAUAUCAAUAAUUCGAGAUAUGACGUGGGGCACUUUCAUCGUGAUUAUUGUUUGUCCAAUAAUGUUGGAUGUAUUAUUUCUUGUUAAGACUUUUUAGGUUGUGAAAAGUCCAAGAUGUAGUAUAAUAAAAUAAAUAUAACCUUUGAUUUUAUCAUUUAUAUUGAGCUGAAAUUUUGACAUACAAUUCUAAAGAUUUUGUGGUUAAAAUUUCAAGAUCUUAAAAAAAAGACCUUUAAAUAAGGAUUUAAAGUUACUAUGAGAUGGUCUUUAUUUACCUAUUUGGUAUUGUUUUUAUUUAUAUUAGGAAUUUUAAUUUAAUUAGUAUUUUAUUAUUAAAAAAUUCUAAUAAUAGAUUGAUUCUAUUAGUUAGGCAAGUUUUAAAUACAAUUUAUUUUUCUAUACAAAAUUUUAUAUCUAGAACAAAUAUAAAUAAAAAUAUUUAGUUUAUUUUUUGUUCGGGUAUUCAUAUUAUUAUUAAGAUUUUUUAAAAAUAUUUAGAGAUUUUUUUUUAUUUCGCUAUUGUGUUAGGACUAUAACCUUAAGGUUUGGAUGUUUGUGAAAGUGGAAGCGGUUACUUUUUAAAAUGUUUUUCACUUAGAAAUGCAUCAAAAUCAUAUAUAUAUUUUUUAUUUUUUAAAAUUAAUUUUUGACAUCAAAACAAUGCAAAAACACCAAAAAAUUAAUUUGAAAAAAAAUCAAAAAUUUUGAAAACCUCGAUCAAAAUGUUGUACCAAACACCCUCUUAGUUUUAUCUUAUUUUUAAAAAAUAAUUCUUGAUAUUAGCAAACAAAACAAUUUAAUAACACAAAAAAAUUAAUUUUAAAAAAUCAAAAUCUUAAAAAACUCUCGUCUAAAUGUUUGCUUUUAGUUUUAUCAUCGUUGCACUGCGUAAAGAUGCUAAAAAGAAAAUAGUUGAUAUAGCCACCUAAGUGCUGGUGGUGUUUCAGAGUGUAGUAGCGAUUGUUUUUUAAAGUGUUUUUUACUCGGAAAUGCAUUAAAAUAAUAUUUUUUUAUUUUUAAAAAAUUAUUUUUAACAUCAGCAUAUCAAAAUGAUCUGAAAAUACUGAAAAAAAUAUUAAUCUAAAUUAAAUAAAAAAAUAAAAAAAAAUCAAUCUCUUUUAAAAAUAUUUUUAAAAUGCAGAAACAAACAGGAUCUCUCAACCUGCUACAAAUAACUGCUGCAAUGGCCUUUCUUUAAUAUUUUACUUACACCAUUCUGCACAAUAUUUUCUUUUGUACAUCCAUGGAACCCUCUUUGCCUUCUACACAAAUUCAAAGCCCAUGCUAAAAACUACAAGGAAAUGAUCUCUACCUUUCUACAAGUUAAAGGCUUUUGGUACUUUCCGUCCUUCUUGGGAAGACCCAUCUCAGUUCAAGAACACUUCGAGCCUCAAUCCACUGAUAUAUUUGUCGUCAGCUUCCAAAAACGAAGGAAAUCUUUGGUUAAUGUUCUCUAAUAAGUACUAACACCUUUUCUCCUUCAACAGUGAAAUUUACGUGCCUUUCACACCUUUUUACGUUCGAACAUUUCAUUUGUUCUUGUGCUCUAAAUUCUAAAUUGAGUCUGUUUUUGUGAGUUCCAUUCUUCUAUUUAAAAGAUUAGAAAACGCAAGAUUGCAUCAAUGCUAAAUGCAAUUUCAAUAUCUGUGUGUGUGUCAAAUGCAUGGUGAUGUUACAUGAUGUGUUUGUUUUUACGUUUCAAAAAUAUUUUUUUAAAAUUAAAUUUUAUUUAUUUAUUUUUUAUUUUAAAUUAAUAUUUUUUAGUUUUUUCGGAUUAUUUUAAUUUACUGAUAUCAAAAUUAACUUUUUUAAAAUAAAAAAAAUAUUAUUUUAAUACAUUUCUGAGUAAAAAAUACUUUGAAAAGUAACUGCUACUACACUUCCAAAUAUACCCUUAAAAAAACAAAGUUAUGGAGUUGGAGGCUCUAAAUAUUCCUCAAAAUAUCAAGUCUUAAGGGCUCGGAGCUAUUAUCCAGUCUUAAAAUUUUUGCAUUUUAAAAAUAUUUUUAAAAAAAUGAAUAUUUUUUACUUUUUUUUAUUUUAAACUAUAUUUUUUUCUUUCUGUUUUUAUAUUGUUUUUAUGUAAAAAAUAAAUUUUAAAAAAUAUAAAAAUAUUUUUUUAAAAACAAUCACCAUACAAUAACAAAUAAAAUAUUAAUAUGAAAUAAAAUCUAAUUCUACCAGCAGACAGCUGAUAAGAAUACUAAAAAAGUGUAAAUUUUGACUUAAUUCAAUUAUUAGAAUUUGGGGCAGCGUAACAGUGUCAAAGAAAAUGUCAGAAAAGUAGGGCAAACAGUGCAAAUACCUUGGAUGAUGGUGACCAAAUAUUUGUAAUUUGAGACAUCUCGUUCUUGAAAAGAAAUAGUUAAUAGUGCCAAUAAUUUUUUUUUAUUAAUUUGAGGUGUUCAGACCAGUUUGCAUGCACCUCGACUAAUACUUACGGUUCUUGAAGUUAACGAAUAAAUAAGCCUCCAGUGGCCAUCAAUAUUAACAACUACAAGGCUCGAACUUGAGACCACAGGGGGGCAAACCCCUUGAUCCAAAACUCUUACCACUUGACCACCUACUAGAUGGUUAGUACCAAUAAUUAAUUUGCUCUCAACUUGCUACAAAUAGCUGCCAUGAUCACAUAUUCAAGAAACACUAGUUUAAGAGCUUGGGAUCAAGAGGUUUGCUCCCUCUGUAGUCUCAGGUUCAAGCCCUGUGGUUGCUCAUAUGAUGGCCACUGGAGGCUUACAUGGUCGUUAACUUCAGGGCCCGUGGGAUUAGUAGAGGUGCGUGUAAGCUGGCCCGGACACCCACGUUAAACUAAAAAAAAAAAAACACUAGUUUAUAAACCCUGAGGGGUAGCUCAACUGGUUAGAUUUUGAGUAUGUUUCCUAAUAAUCACGAGUUUGAGUUCUUUUAGGCCAACUGGAGGCUUACAUAGUUUUAAACUUCAGGACUCGUGAAAUUAGUAAAGGUACAUACAAAUUCAGUGGUGGAGCCAGAAAUUUUUAAAUGAGGAGGCAAAUUACUAACAAAUAUUUGAUAUUAUAUGCUAUACAUAUAUAUGUUAUAUAUAGAAAUGAAUUUGAAAUACAUGUGCCUCAAGUCAAGCAAAAUUAAUUUAAGAAUACUUUUAAAAUGAAAAAAACUUAUGUUAUAAUUGUUUUCUUCGAGAUUUUAUAUUUUAAAACUGCUUCAUAAUAAUUUUAUUUUUAAUUUCAUUAAAAAUAUAUUUCUCAAUAUAUACAACAAACUUUCAUUUAUCUAUUUCUAAAUCUUCCAAGUACUAGGAAAGUUGUUGACAACAAUUUUAUGCUGACAUAUGGUACAUAACAUCUAAAAUCAUAUCUUAAAAGAAUUGUCAUAAAUUGAAGUUGUUCUUACUGACUUGUUGUUUUGUACAAGUAGAUUAAAUAUAAAUAUUAAAUGUUUUUUUAAAUUUAUCUAUUAUGUCUCUAAUUUUUUUAGUUGUCUUAUACUUCAUUUUUAAUCAUUAGUAAAUUCAUUAUCAUCGUUUUUCAUAUGAAAUUCAUAACAAAACUUAUCAAUUCAUCAAAACUCAUUUCAAUUCAUAUCCAUUAGCAUAUAAUAUUACCCAUACACAUAUUAAUUCAACAAACCCAUAAAUUAUUAUAAACCCUAACAUUUUUAAUAACUAAUUUUUGGAGAUGUAGACCCAGUAUUUUUGGAGCUUCCAUAUCUAGUUGACCUAUCAGGAAGAGAUGAAGUUAACGUUUGGGAAUGCGGUGCAAACCAUGUUCCCCUAAAAUUAAAUUUUUUUUUGUUAAAAAUUAAUUUUUUGGUAUAUUUUGGAUCGUUUUGAUGCGCUGAUCUCAAAAAUAAUUUUUAAAAAAUAAAAAAACAUCAUUUUGAUGCAUUUCGGCACAAAAAAUACUUUGAAAAGCAACUGUAACCACACUCCUAUACAAGUAAAGUCUCUAACAGCACAAGUAUAAAAAAUAUAACUGCUGGGCAAACCAACUCUUUUCUCAAACCCAUCAGUUGCCUCAUGAUAUAUAUAUAUAUAUACACAUAUAUAUAUAUAUAUAUAUAUAUAUAUAUACACACACACACCAUGCAUAGAAUUCAUGGAUAAAAGAAAGGAAUUGGAUCUGAUUUGAGGUGGGGGGAUUGCCCCCUCUUGCCUUUAUGUGGCUCCGCCACUAUAUAAAUUAGUUUGGAUAUUUACAUUAAUUAAAAAAAAAAUACUGGUCUAGAAAAGCGAUCUACAAGGUGAUUAUUUAGUUGACUAAUUGAAUCUGUUUUUUAUAAAAAAAAUAUUUUAGAAGAUAAUUUUUAAUAAUUUUAGAUUUUUUUAUAUAUAAAUAUCAAAAAUAAAAUUAAAAAAAUAACAAAAUAUUAUUUUAAUAUAAUUUUAAAUAAAAAACACAUUUAAAAAAACUUAAUAGUAUACUCUCAACCAAGGUUGUCAAUUCCGUUUCGGUAGGUGUUUCGUUUUUUUAAUUGGAAUGGAAUGUUUCAGUUUCGGAGUGUUUCGGCGUGCCGUUCCGGGGUUGUACUGUUCAUAUAUAUAUAUUCAACAAACAUAAUUCAAAUUCAAGAUAAAUUAAUUAUAAAUUAUGCAAUACAAACACAAUGCCAAACAAAUAUAAUUUCAAAAUUUAAAAUAUUUCUAAAUAGUCAAGAUUAAAUAGAUCUUUACCUUAAAGUAAUUCAACUUAAACAAAAUAUCAAAAUAUUAUGAAAGUAAAAUGUUUUAACAUAAAUAUUUUAAAUAUAAAGUUAGGUCAAUGUUAUCAAGGCUAAUUGAAUCUAAAGCAUCCCUUGGUUUGCUCAAAUUUCUACAAAGUAUAAACAUGAAAAAAAAACAUGAAUAUAAACCUUAUAUAUUAGUGAUAAAUCUAAUUUUAAAAAAUUAAUAUCAUUGUUAAUGAAAAUAGUAAUAAUAAUUUUCAAUAUUAUUAUUAAUAUCAUUGUUAUUGAAAAUAGUAAUGAAAAAGAGCCUUUUAUAAUUGGGUGAUUUAAUUAAUUAAAUUGAACAAAAUUCAAUUUGAUUCAAUGGAUUUUCAAGAACGGAACGAAACAAGUGGAAUGAAACCGGAACGUUCCGGGUGGAAUUUAGCCGAAAAAUACAGAACAGACCGAGAUUUAAAAUAAAAUGAAAUUUAUUUUAUUUUUUAAAUUGGUAUGAAAUAUUUCGUUUAUUUCAUACGAAACAAAACAGAAUUGACAACUUGCUCUCAAGCACCCAAAAUAGAGGAUUCAAUUGUAUUGUGGGUUCCACACCAUUUAAAGCUUGCAAAGAAGGAUUUGAAACACAAUCACACUAAAGAUUUGCAAUGGAAUAUAAUAUAAAAUAAUACCCAAUGGCAUCAGCGGACAUGUAAUCAAUAAUAUUAAAAUACAGUAAAUUUUGAUUUAAUUCAAUUAUUGGAUUCUAGGCAGCGUGACAAUGUCAGAAAAUCUUGGAUGAUGGUGACCAAAUAUAUCAGUAAUUUGAGACAACACGUUCCCGAAAGGUAAUAGCUGAUGGUGCCAAAAAUUAAACCAGCUCUCAACUCGCUACAAAUAGCUGCCAUGGCCUUUCAUUCUACCUUAUAUUUCUUUUUUAACUUUCAUGGAAUCCUCUUUGCCUUCCUCCCAAAUCUUGGAUUCUGAUGGAAAUGCUGAGAGGAAAAAUGAAGCUAAAAAUUACAAUGAAGUGAUGUCCACCCUUCCAAAAGUUAAAGGCUUGAGGGGGGAUGAUUAUUACCUGUACCAAGGCUUUUGGUACGCUCCCUUCUUCUUGGAAAGACUCAUGUCUGUUCAAGAGCACUUCCAUCCUCAAUCCACUGAUAUAUUUGUCGCCAGUUUUCCAAAAACUGGCACAACUUGGCUUAAGGCCCUCACUUUUGCUAUUUUCACACGAUCCCGUUUAAGUGGUUCAACAACUAGUUCUUUACUUUCCAAGAUGCCACAUGACUGUGUUCCUUUUUUGAAUUAUAACCUUGCUCAAAACCCCAGUAAUCGGGACUUGACAAUUCCUCUGCUAUCUACUCAUGUUCCUUACAGUUGUUUACCUAAAUCUAUCAUUUCUUCUUGUUGCAAGAUUAUUUACAUUUGCAGGGACGCAAAGGAUGCUUUUGUUUCUUUGUGGUACUUUCAUGCCACGUUGCAAAGGUCGAAAAAUGUUGAGCCUCUUCCUCUGGAAGAGGCUUUUGAGCUGUUCUGCAAUGGAAUUGCAAAUUUUGGACCCUACUGGAACCAUGUUUUAGGGUACUGGAGAGCAAGCUUGGAGUUCCCCGAGAAGAUACUGUUCUUGACAUAUGAGGAAAUGAAGAAAGACACCGCUGCUCAUGUUAAGAAAUUAGCUGAGUUCAUGGGUUGUUCUUUCACCCUAGAGGAAGAGGAGGAAGGGGAGGUGCAAAAGAUAAUAGGCAUGUGUAGUUUUGAGAAGUUGAGCAACUUGGAGGUGAAUAAAAAUGGGAAGUGCCUUCUAGACAUAUCAAUUCCUAUUCCAAAUAGUAUAUUCUUCAGGAAAGGUGAGAUAGGCGACUGGGCAAAUCACUUGACACCUGAAAUGGGAGCACGUCUAGAUGACAUAAUGGAGCGGAAGCUCAAGGGUUCAGGCUUGAAGCUGCCCAGGUGACUGUGCCUGGGCCCCGUUUGCUUAUUAUUAUUGGCUUAGUGGGUUCGUCAAAAGCUGUUAUCAACAUCUCGUGAAACAGCAACCGUGUAUCCCAAUAAAUACCCUCUCUGUUCAUCUCUUGUAUUUCCUAGCAAGUAUUCACAUUUUGUGAAUCAUCCAUGUCAAUAAGCAAUAUUCUUUUGUGAAUCUGUGUUUGUAACUUUCAUUGAUUUCCUUGCAAGUUUGUAAGAAUUAAAAAUGGGAUUCGUUUUUUAUUUAUUUAUUUAACACAAGUGCAUGCAUUCCAUUAAUCAGUGAUAAAAAAAAAUAAAAUUACUCUACUAUAUAAUAUUAGAGUGUUUUCUUCACAGAAAUUGCAGUGUGUUUUCUUCACACUGCAAUACAUGUUUUAAAAGAACCGAGACAACCAUACAUGAGGGCGGAGCAAAUACCAACCGAGACAACCAUCCAUUAAGAUUGUUGAAUUGAAGAUCAAAUGAACAUAGGCGGCACAUCUGCUGAAAGGAUCUCGAAAUGCCUUGUAAUUGGUUAAAAUAAAGAUCAAGAUCUGUAGGAGAACUCGUGUUUUCCACUCCUAAAAUAAGCCCAGUUGCCGGCUUCAUGUGCAACAGAGGCACAUAGAGAAUCUCCCCCCCCCCCCCUCCAGGCUCAGAUCACAAAUCUUCUUACUUCAAACCAAUCUUUUGGAACCGAUAUAUAUGUCGAGUGAUGGCUUGAUUUAUACCGGAGAUUGUGUUGGAAAAUUAAAGAAGCAUGGCUUAAUUUGUACCUUGGAUGCGCAAAUUGAUUACAGGAAAAUAUCAAAAAAAAAUUUCCUUUCUUUAUAACUUAUGAAGAGUAAAAUAAAAAAAAAGUUAAUAGUAAAACAAAAUAACCCCAAGUGUACAUUAUCAAUGCAAAACUAGAUUUUUCCUUAUUUUAUAUCCCUUUCUUUUGAUAUACUUCUUCUUUUAUGCCCCUUUCUUUUGGUAUAUCUCUUCUUUGUAUCUUUUGGUGUUAAUCACUUUGUUGAAUGCCUCUGUUGAUAUCUUUUAUAACUCACUACAGUGAUUUGAACAUUGAAAAUGUUUCCUUUUAAAAAAAAAAAAUAGAGAAGGCAUUUUGAUUUCAUCUUCAAUUUUUCUGCAUGUCUUCUUCUUUCAAAGUAUUGGGUUUAAAACACAAUCAUGCUCUACAUCAUGCUUUGAGUUUUCCAGGUUAUUUUCAGAAAGAUUUGAUAUAUUUGACCUGAAAGAAAAAAAGGAUGUACAAAGCUUUGCAUUUCUGGAACGUCUUUUCAUCAUGCUCUACAUGAUUCAAUCACAUUGCUCACAUCUACAUGAGUAACCAGAAAAGCAAGUAUUUCAUCGGAUUCUACAUGAUUCGAUCACUUCGCUCACAGCUUUAUGAGUCUCUGGUGAUAUCGUGUUUAAUUAAAUAGAAUAUUUAUUAUAAGAAACAGAUUUAUCAAAUAUAAUUGAGUAUAUGCCUCAUCAUAUCAAAUAUUUUAAUUAGAUGUAACUAUCUAGGUGGUGGUUCAGUGGUAAAAGUUUGGGACCAAGAUGUUUGUUCCCUCUGUGGUCUCAGGUUCGAGCCCUGUGGUUGCUCAUAUGAUGGUCAUUGGAGGCUUACAUGGUCGUUAACUUCAGGGCCCGUGGGAUUAGUCAAGGUGCACGCAAGCUGAUCCGGACAUCCAUGUUAAACUAAAAAAAUAUAUAUAUUUUAAUUAGAUGCGUGUGUACAAGUAUUUUAAUUUAUGAUUAAGAAUUUUUUUAUAUCAAAAAAAAAUUAAAAAGUCUGUAUAUUUAUUUUUCCUUGUUAAAACAAUUAUCUGAAAUAGCCAGUAAUCAACUAACUAUGAAAGAUAAGAUUGAGAAUUGAGAAGUUUAUUUGUCAGCAGACAGUAGCUUCAGUAGAUGGAAAAAGACUCUCUAGAUCACCGGAUCAAUUCCCACCUUCAUGAACUAUUUUUUAUUAGUACAGAAAGCUUCAUAUCAGUCAAAACUCUCUCUCUCUCUCUCUCUCUCUCUCUCUCUCUCUAAAUGGAUCAGAGACUACACAAAUAUAGAGGUGGAGCUUCACAUUAAGCUUCAGAUCAAUUUUCUAUUUUAAAAUCUCAUAAGUUUGGUCCAUUGAUUGCCCUAGAUUGCCCUAGAUUUUCCUGUGUUUUAUAUCCUUUUCUUUUGACAUUUUUUUUAAUCUUUUUCCAGGCCAAAAUCCUAAUUUAAUGUUUGAAAUUGAGAUGAUAAUUAUUUAACUAGAAAAUAUAUUAAAAUAAUAUUUUUUAUUUUUAAAAAUUUAUUUUAAUCAUCACCACAUUAAAACAAUCUAAAAUUAUAUAAAAAAAUUAAAAUAAUAAGAUUUAAAAAUAUUUUUUAAACACAAAAACAAACACAAUCAUCACUCAUAUAUCAUGAGAUUUGCAUUUAGACAUUAAAAUUCAAGAAGAAAUUAAGUUCACCGUACUAUUAAUUCAGUCGAUGAAGGAUUAGUCCCAACUACUUUAGGCCACCAUUAAUUACUUUAUUUAAAUGUAUACUUCUUUAUUAAUUCAGUCGAUGAAGGAUUAGUCCCAACUACUUUGGGCAUUUUAACUCCAUCUUCAAUUACUUUAUUUAAAGGUAUCCUUCUUUCUUAGAUAUUGAAUUUUGAAAACACAAUCAUGCUAAAGAUUUGUCAACGAAUUGUUUUUUAAAAUAAAAAAAUAUUUUAAAAAAUAAUUAAUACCAUACUACCGAGCAAAUGAAGUUAUGUGGAGGGUUCCGCACCAUUUAAAGGUUGUAAAGAAAGGUUUAAAACACAAUGACGAUAAAGAUUUGCUAUCGAAUAUAAUAUGAAAUAAUAAUACCCAAUUGCAUCAGCGGACAUGUGAUCAACAAUAUUAAAAUUCUGUAAAUUUUGAUUUAAUUCAAUUAUUGGAAUUCCAGGCAGCGUGGCAAUGUCAGAAAAUCUUGGACGAUGGUGACUAAAUGUUUGUAAAUGGAGACGGCACGUUCGCGGAAGGUAAUAGUCGAUGGUGCCAAAAAUUAAAUCAGCUCUCAACUCGUUACAAAUAGCUGCCAUGGCCUUUCAUUCUACAUUAUUUUUUCUUUUUUCACAUUCAUGGAAUCCUCUUUGCCUUCCACCCAAAUCUUGGAUUCUGGUGAAAGUGCUGAGAGGAAAAAUGAAGCUAAAAAUUACAAUGAAGUCAUGUCCACCCUUCCAAAAGUAAAAGGCUUGAAUGGGUGUGAUUAUUACCUGUACCAAUGCUUUUGGUACGAUCCCUCCUUCUUGGAAGGAAUCAUGUCUGUUCAAGAGCGCUUCAAUCCUCAAUCCACUGAUAUAUUUCUCGCCAGUUUUCCAAAAACUGGCACAACUUGGCUUAAGGCCCUCACUUUUGCUAUUUGUACACGAUCCCGUUUAAGUGGUUCAACAACUAGUUCUUUACUUUCCAAGAUGCCACAUGACUGUGUUCCUUUUAUGGAAUAUGACCUUGCUCAGAACCCAAGUAAUCGGGACUUGGCAAUUCCUCUGGUAUCUACUCAUGUUCCUUACACUUGUUUACCUAAAUCUAUCAUUUCUUCUUGUUGCAAGAUUAUUUACAUUUGCAGGGACGCAAAGGAUGUUUUUGUUUCUUUGUGGUACUUUCUUGCCAGGCUGCAAAUGUCUGAAAAUGUUGAGCCUCUUCUUCUGGAAGAGGCUUUUGAGUUGUUUUGCAAUGGAAUUGCAAAUUUUGGACCCUACUGGAACCAUGUUUUAGGGUACUGGAGAGCAAGCUUGGAGUUCCCCGAGAAGAUACUGUUCUUGACAUAUGAGGAAAUGAAGAAAGACACCGCUGCUCAUGUUAAGAAAUUAGCUGAGUUCAUGGGUUGUUCUUUCACCCUAGAGGAAGAGGAGGAAGGGGAGGUGCAAAAGAUAAUAGGCAUGUGUAGUUUUGAGAAGUUGAGCAACUUGGAGGUGAAUAAAAAUGGGAAGUGCCUUCUAGACAUAUCAAUUCCUAUUCCAAAUAGUAUAUACUUCAGGAAAGGUGAGAUAGGCGACUGGGCAAAUCACUUGACACCUGAAAUGGGAGCACGUCUAGAUGACAUAAUGGAGCGGAAGCUCAAGGGUUCAGGCUUGAAGCUGCCCAGGUGACUGCGCCUGGGUCCCAUUUGCUUCUGAUUAUUGCCGAAGUGGGUUCAUCAAAAGCUGUUAUCAACAUCUCGUGAAACAGCAACUGUGUAUCCCAAUAAAUACCCUCUCUGUUCAUCUCUUGUAUUUCCUAGCAAGUAUUCACAUUUUGUGAAUAAUCCAUGUGAAUAAGCAAUGUUCUUUUGUGAAUCUGUGUUUGUAACUUUCAUUGAUUUCCUUGCAAGUUUGUAAGAAUUAAAAAUGGGAUUCGUUUUUUAUUUAUUUAUUUAACACAAGUGCAUGCAUUCCAUUAAUCAGUGAUAAAAAAAAAAAAAUUACUCUACUAUAUAAUAUUAGAGUGUUUUCUUCACAGAAAUUGCAGUGUGUUUUCUUCCCACUGCAAUACAUGUUUUAAAAGAACCGAGACAACCAUACAUGAGGGCGGAGCAAAUACCAACCGAGACAACCAUCCAUUAAGAUUGUUGAAUUGAAGAUCAAAUGAACAUAGGCGGCACAUCUGCUGAAAGGAUCUCGAAAUGCCUUGUAAUUGGUUAAAAUAAAGAUCAAGAUCUGUAGGAGAACUCGUGUUUUCCACUCCUAAAAUAAGCCCAGUUGCCGGCUUCAUGUGCAACAGAGGCACAUAGAGAAUCUGAAAGCAGUUUUUAUGCACUAUCAGCAGAAUAAUUUGAUCAGUCAGAAUGAUCCCCCCCCCACUAGGCUCAGAUCACAAUUCUUCUUACUUCAAACAAAUCUUUUGGAACCGAUAUGUGGAGGGAUGGCUUGAUUUAUACCGGAGAUUUUGUUGGAAAAUUAAAGAAGCAUGGCUUAAUUUGUACCUUGGAUGCGCAAAUUGAUUACAGGGAAAAAAAUGACAGAAAGUGAGUUGCAGGGAAUGAAAAAGGCAUUAGUAAACUCAACAGCUUGCAGGGCAUCGUUCCUUGGUUUACUCCGUUUUAUUUCUUAUUUUGUUUUUCCUGCCAUUGUCUUAUGUUUGUCUAACUCGCAGUCUGGUCUCUGCAGAGAAUGAGAAAGCACAGACUCUUUAAGAGAAGAUAUUCUCCGGCAAUGGCAUCAAACAGAAAAGUCCGACGUUAACUAAAUGAGUUCAUGGGUCUCUUGUCUGAAUAUAGAAGUGCAGAAACUAAGCUUGACCAAAAACCCCCAUGCUACCAACUACAACUCAACAAGCAACAAAUCAAAUGAAUUGUGAUCCGCCAGUAAACAGCGAAUGGACACUGCCCCAGCAAUAGAUCAUACAAGCUCUGACCAACCGGUCAAAGAUCACGAGGACCCUACCCACUGCCCACUGACUGACAAUUCAUCAAAUAGAUUUAUUGCCGUUCACCACCUUAUUUAGAUGUAUUUUUAAAUAAUAUCCGUGAACUCAAAAAAAAAUCACUCAAAUAUCUCCCUAGAAAACUGACCUUGAACUCUUAACUAGGAGAAAAACAAAGAGGAAAAAUAGAGCUUAUAACAUAGGAAACUACGCUGAAAACUGAGGUGAAAAAAAGUGUAAGAAAUUCUGUAAAAAUGUCCAGAAACACUUUUUAUCACUUUUUACAGAGGAUUUUGAAACCUAAACCAAUGUAGAUUUACUUUUAGUAAUUAUUAAAAAUUAAUUUUUAUCAUUAUCAAUCUUAAUUAUCCGUUAUAAAUUAAAAUUAACCUUAACCCUUUUAGCUUUAAAUAUAAUGCUUUGUUAGAAUUAUAAAAACCAUUCAAAUUGAAAAAAAUUGCUUAGGCUGAAAAAAGUGUUCAGACUCUAUAUUCAUUGACAGUACAAACUGAUGGAUUAGAAAGAAAAAAAAUAUAUAGGCCAAAAAAUUAUAAAUCCAAACCCAAGUUUAAAAUAUAUUGAUAAAAAUUAAUUAUUUAUAGUUUACAAUAAAAUCAGACUUGGGACAAGCAAGCCAAUUAAGCAUGGGACUUCAACUCAAAGUUUACUUUACUUAGGUUUUUUUUUUUAAUCUGAGUGUAUUUUAAUCCAAUUUUAAUUCUUUAUAUUUUUAAUAUAUAAUUAACAAUAAAAAUGUUGUUUUUUUUACGUGAAAUAAAGGUUUUGAAUUUCACAAAGAUAUAUUCAUCAACAAAAUUAAAUUUUUAUUUAUUUAUAAUUUAUUUUAAUUAUUUUAAUAUUUUAUGUUAAAGAGAUUUGGUUGGAGAAUAAGUUUCAAUAAAAUUUAAAUCCGAAAAAUAAGUAGAUUUUAUUUUUAAUUUUAUUUCAAAUAUAUUUAUUUUUUAUGUUUUAAAACAAAUUUUAUCUCAUCUAUGUAUGUAUAAAUAUAUAAUCACAAUUCUCAAUACAGCACUUAUAGUUAGUUAUCGAACGAAAGAAUGUUAUCUCUUUCAGUAUGCCACAGAUAUUCAAAACACGGCGGUCACCCUUAUUAGCUUGCAGUCGUCUAUCGAAGUAUUAUCGCCAAAUCCACAGAAGCAAGGCAAACCACAGUUUUCUCUAGUUAUAGGACUAGACGGUACUGCGCUAGACUGCAGGUUUACAAUAUUUUUUCGAUAAAAUAUUUAAAUCAUGAGAAAAUCAUGCAUGAUUAAAAGAGUAAAAUUCAAAUUAAAAAUAUCAAUACAUGACAAAAUAAAAUUAAAAAAAAUUAAAUAAAAUUUUUAUAAAAAAACUAGAAUAAAAGAGAGGACUGAAACCGAAAAAGUUUAAACAAAAAGGACAUACCUGCAAUUUGAGGGGGGGAGGGAGGAGGAGAAAAAAAAAGGUUCAUCAACAACGAACUGCUCGACCUUCACCUACAUGUAUCGCACCAUGAGAAAGAGGAAGCAGUGAUGCUUCCAACAACACAAUAAAAUGUUUAUUUUUACAACUAGAGGUAUUGCAUGCUAUACUUGAAGUGCUAGCUUUUUAAAUUUUAAUAUUAUUUAUUUUUUUGUUAAAAGAUUACAAUGCGCAAACUAAAAAGAAAAACAAUAUAAAAAGAUAAAGUAUAACCUUGACCUAAAGCUUUUCUUUUUCUUUUUACUUCAAGGAUAUUUAAGUAAGUUUAGUGUACAUUCAAAAGCAUUUAAUGAAAUACCCUUCGACCAAGGUUUUUUUUUUUUUUAAAGUAUAAGACACUUAACAAAAUAAUAAAUAACAAAAAUUAAAAACUUAAAAAGACAAAAAAUACCCUUCGACCAAGGUUUUUUUUUUUUACUCCAAAGCAUUUAAUGAAUCUCGCCCAUAACGACAGCAAGUCUUUAAAAAGUGGAUUUCCUGAUGAAACCUGGAUAGUAUCAGUGCCAGCUCGAGCUCAGAAUGCGGCAUCUAUUGAUUAACUUACCAGUUACCAACACAAGGAGACACACACAACAACUUUAAAAAGGGCAUUAUAUAGCUAAACAUUGAUUAUUAUUUUUAUUUCAUUUUUAAUAUUAUAUUAAUUUUAAAUAUAUAUAUUUUUAAUUUCUCCAUUCAAUAACAAGUUGAAAUUCAUAAUUUUAUUUAAUUCAUUUCUUAUAAUAAUUUUUUUCCCAUCGUUUAAUUAAAUAAAAUAUUUAUUAUAAAAAAUAAAAUUAUUAAACAUAAUUGAGUAUAUGGCUUGUAUUUUUAGGUUAAAUAUUGUAAUUAGAUGUGGGUAUAAGCAUUUUAAUUUAUAAUUAAAAAGAAAAACUAUAUCCAAAAAAGAAUUUAAAAAACCUGUAUAUUUAUUUUUCAAUUAUCUAACCUGCAGCAGUGAAGUGCAAUUGAAAUAGCUAGUAAUCUAACUAAAAAAUUUAAGAUAAGAUUAAGAAAUGAGAAGUUUAUUUGUCAGCAGACAGUAGCUUCAGUAAAUAGAAAAUAUAGACUGUACUGCUGCUGAUCCCGGGAUCAAUGCCCACCUUCAUGGAUUAUAUAUAUAUAUAUAUAUAUAUAUAUAUUCAAUGUGAGAUAUUAAGUCAUUUAGUACAUACUAGUUAGAUGACUUGUGCGGUGCUGCGAGUUAAUUUUUUUUGCAUAAAAAUAUAUAAAAAAACUAAAAUCUAAAAGUAUUAGGUCUUUUUGCAAAGUUAUACCCAAGAAUCUUGGGUUUGGCUGCAACGCCUGACCCAAGAGUAAUAUUUAUAAUAUUAAUUAUAACAUUAAACUUGCAUGACUCAAGUUUAAAUGAGUCUAGAUGCAAUACCAUACCCAAUAGUCUUGGAUGUGGGUCUGGCUGCAAGGUCGUGUAAUAAAAGUGUGAUAAUUAAAUAGAUUAAUUAAAAAUAAAAAAAACAAAGAAAAAAACAAACAUGAAGAAAAAAACUAAUGAAGAAAAAGAAAAAAAAUUUGAAUUAACUGGGUUAACCCUUCAAACCAGGUUAAUCCGUCAAACCUUGGAUUCGUGUCGUGAAAGUUUGAUAACUAAAUAAAAAAAAAAUGAACAUUAACAAACUAAAUUAAAUGAAAAAAAUAAUUAAAAAAAAAAGCAUCAGCCUUUUCACUGUGGACUGCACUGUGCAGUCCACAGUCAAAUGCAUAAAAACAACAAAAAAGCAAAAAGAAAAACUAAAGGCAUCAAUCGAUAACUAAAUAGAAAAAAAAUUUAAUAUUGAUGAACUAAAUUAAAUAAAAAAAAUUAAAUAAAAAGAAGAAAAAACUUAUAAGAAGAAAAAAACUAAUGAAGAAAAAGAAAAAAAAUCUAAAUUAACUGGGUUAACCCGUCAAACCUGAGAUCCGUGUCAUGAAAGUCUGACAACUAAAUAAAAAAAAUUUAAUAUCAAUAAACUAAAUAAAAAAAUUAAUUUAAAAAAAAGGCAUCAGCCUUUUCACCGUGGAUUGCACUGUGCAGUCCAUAGUGAAAGGCAUGAAAAUAAAAAAAACAAAAAAAAACUAAAGGCAUCAGCCUUUUCACUGUGGACUGCAUAGAAUAUUAAAAGAUGAAAUCGGAAGAACAAAACUAAUGAGGAAAAAGAAAAAAAAAAUCUGAAUCAACUAGGUUAAUCCGUCAAAUCAAGUUAACCCGUCAAACUUGAAAGUGUGAUAACUAAAUAGAAAAAAGAUUUAAUAUUAAUGAAAUAAAUUAAAAAAAGAUUAAUUAAAAAGGAAAAAAGCAAAGAGAAAAAAGACCAACAGGAAGAAAAAAACCUAAUGAAGAAAAAGGAAAAAAAUCUGAAUUAAGUGGGUUAACUGGUCAAACCUGGGAUUCGUGUCAUGAAAAUCUGAUAAUUAAACAGAAAAAAUUUAAUAUUAAGAAACUAAAUUAAAAAAAGACUAAUUAAAAAAAGACAAAAAAAAACUAAAGGCAUCAGCUUUUUCACUCUUAAAAAGGAAAAGAGAGAAAAAUAAAAACAAAAGCAAACGCCACGGGUUAAUUUUUUUUUUCUUGCAUAAAAAAUAUUAAAAAAAACUAAGAUCUAAGAGUAUUAGGUCUUUCUGCAAAGAUAUGCCCAAGAGCCUUUGGUUUAGUUGCAACGCUUGACCCAAGAGUAAUAUUUAUAAUAAUAAUAAUAAUAAUAAACUUACAUGACUCAAGUUUAAGUGAGUCUGGCUGCAAGGUCGUGUCAUAAAAGUGUGAUGAUUAAAUAUAUUAAUUAAAAAGAAAAAAACCAACAUGAAGAAAAAAACUAAUGAAGAAAAAGAAAAAAAUAUGAAUUAACUGGAUUAACCCUUCAAACCAGGUUAACCCGUCAAACCUGAGAUUCAUGUUAUGAAAGUUUGAUAACUAAAUAGAAAACAAAAUUGACGGGUUAACCUGUCAAGCCUGGGAUACGUGUCAUGAAAGUCUGAUAAUUAAAUAGAAAGAAAUUUAACAUUAACAAAAUAAACUAAACGAAAAAAAAUUAAUUUAAAAGAAAAAAAGUAAAAAAAAAAUUCUAGGUUAACUCAUCAAACCAAAUUAACCCAUCAAAUCCGGGAUCCGUGUCAUGAAAGUCUGAUAACUAAAUAAAAAAAAUAACAUUAACAAACUAAAUUAAACAAAAAAAAUUCAUAAAAGAAAAAAAAACACAGAAAAAAAACAAAAAAAACAUAAAGGCAAAAAAAACAAAAACAAAAUUAAGUGAGAAUUACUGAUGUGCUUUGCCAAGCUUUGCAACAGAAAUCUCAAGACAUUUUAAAUGCUAUGCAUUUGCUGACUACCAUAAAGACUUUAAUUCAGAAGUUAAGAGAUGAUGGAUUGGAAACUCUUUUAGAACAAGUGACAUCAUUUUGUAAGCAUAAAAACAUUGAAGUUCCUGAUAUGGAUGCUUGUUUUUCUAGUGUGGGACGAUCUCGCUGUAAAACAAAAUCAAUAACAGUUGAGCAUCACUAUCGAGUUGAUAUAUUUAUAGCUAUCAUUGAUCAAUAGUUGCAAGAGCUAAAUAAUAGAUUCUAUGAGCAGGCGAUCGAGCUUCUUAAGUUGAGCAUAGCUUUAGAUCCUAAAAAUAACUAUAAAUUAUUCAGUGUUGAAGAUAUAUGCUAACUUGUUGACAAGUUCUAUCCUGAAGACUUUUCUGACCAAGAAAAAACUCAUUUGAGAUUUCAGUUGCAGCAUUAUGAGCUUGAUGUACCCAAUCAUCCAAAGUUAAAGAAUAUGUCAUCGAUUGCUGAUUUAUGUCAAGGACUGGUUGAAAUAGAAAAAUCAACAAUUUAUCUACUCAUUGAUAAGUUGAUUCGACUUAUUUUGACUCUUCCUGUUUCGACAGCAACUACUGCACGAGCUUUUUCAGCGAUGAAGAUUGUUAAAACAAGACUUCGCAAUCGGAUGGAGGAUGAUUUUCUUGCAAAUUAUUUGAUUGUCUAUAUAGAAAAAGAAAUUGCUGAAAGAUUCACAAUUGAUAUGAUAAUCGAUGAUUUCUACUCCAUGAAAGAAAGACAAAAACAAUUAAAAUAAAUAUGUAAGAAUCAUUCUUUAUUACUUUUUAUUUUAUUUAAAAGUUUUAUCAAACAUAAAUAAUGUAUCGCUUUAGCUAAUGUUUCUUAUAUAUUUUGUAUGUUUAUAUUUGAUAGGUACAAAAACCAACAAAAUUAAAGUGAUGAAUACAUUAUGAAGAUGAAAUUAACUUCAUAGCUUUGACUUAAUUUGAUAUUUGCUUUAAACAUCUUAUCUUAUACAAAAAUCAUAAUAUGUUUGUAAUUACUUUUUUGAAUAAAACUAAAUCAUGUCGUUUUUGUUUUUGUUUUUAUUUUUAUUUUUAUGUAAAGUAAAUUUUUAAAUAAAUUAUAUCUUUUAUUAUUUUAACCCCCAUUCAAAUAAUCCCAGCCCCUGACCGCAAUAACAAUCAAAAUAAAAUCUAAUUCUACCGGCUGCUAAGAAUACUAAAAUAGUGUAAAUUUUGACUUAAUUCAAUUAUUAGAAUUCGGGGCAGAUAACAGUGUUGAAGAAAAUGUCAGAAAAGUAGGGUAAACAGUACAAAUACCUUGGAUGAUGGUGACUAACGCCGUUUGUUUACGCGGGCGCGGGUGCGGUUGCCUUUUAAUUAAUAAAUAUCGGUAGUUGGAGACUUCUUGUUCUCGAAAAGAAAUAGUUAAUAGUGCCAAUAAUUAAUCUGCUCUCAACUUGCUACAAGCUGUCAUUACUCAUUACCAAAAUAUUAAAGAAACAAAUAUUUCCUAUUAGUAGAAAAGCGAUCUAAUAAAGCGAUUGUUCAGUUGACGUUAUUGAAUUGCUUUUUUAUAAAAAGUUAAUUUUUAAAUAUUUAUAGAUUAUUUUAUAUAUAAAUUUAAAAAAAAUCUUAAAAAAUUUAAAAAUAUAUUUUAAUAUAAUUAAAAAAAACAUUUGAAAAACAAUUAAUAGUAUAGUCUCAGGUCUCAACCACCCAAAAUAUACAUUUGAAAAACAUUUUAUAUACCUUGGAUUAAAUUGUGUUGUAGGUUCCACACCAUUUAAAGCUUGCAAAGAAGGAUUUAAAACACAAUCACGCUAAAGAUUUGCAAUCCAAUAUAAUAUGAAAUAAAACCCCAUUGCAUCACCGGACAUGUGAUCAAUAAUAUUAAAAUACUGUAAAUUUUGAUUUAAUUCAAUUAUUAGAGCUUGAGGCAGCGUGACAAUGUGAAAGAAAAUGUCAGAAAAUCUUGGAUGAUGGUGACCAUAUCAGUAAUUUGAGACAGCAAGUUCUCGAAAGGUAAUAGUUGAUGGUACCAAAAAUUAAACCAGCUCUCAACUCGCUACAAAUAGCUGCCAUGGCCUUUCGUUCUACAUUAUAUUUCUUUUUUUACUUUCAUGGAAUCCUCUUUGCCUUCCACCCCAAUCUUGGAUUCUGGUGAAAGUGCAGAGAGGAAAAAUGAAGCAAAAAAUUACAAUGAAGUAAUGUACACCCUUCCAAAAGUUAAAGGCUUGAGGGGGAAUGAUUAUUACCUGUACCAAGGCUUUUGGUACUCUUCCUUCUUCUUGGAAGGACUCAUGUCUGUUCAAGAGCACUUCAAUCCUCAAUCCACUGAUAUAUUUCUCACCAGUUCUCCAAAAACUGGCACAACUUGGCUUAAGGCCCUCGCUUUUGCUAUUCUUACACGAUCCCGUUUAAGUGGUUCAACAACUAGUUCUUUACUUACCAAGAUGCCACAUGACUGUGUUCCUUUUUUGGAAUAUCACCUUGCUCAAAACCCAAGUAAUCGGGACUUGGCAAUUCCCCUGCUAUCUACUCAUGUUCCUUACAGUUGUUUACCUAAAUCUAUCAUUUCUUCUAGUUGCAAGAUUAUUUACAUUUGCAGGGACGCAAAGGAUGCUUUUGUUUCUUUGUGGUGCUUUUUUCCGCGCAUCAAAUGUCGAAAAAUGUUGAACCUCUUCCUCUGGAAGAGGCCUUUGAGAUGUUUUGCAACGGAAUUUCAGUCUUGGGACCAUAUUGGGACCAUGUUUUAGGGUAUUGGAGAGCAAGAUUUGAGUUCCCUGAGAAGAUAUUGUUCUUGACAUACGAGGAAAUGAAGAUAGACACCGCUGCUCAUGUUAAGAAACUAGCUGAGUUCAUGGGUUGUUCUUUCACCUUCGAGGAAGAGGAGGAAGGGGAGGUGCAAAAGAUAAUAAGCAUGUGUAGUUUUGAGAAGUUGAGCAACUUUGAGGUGAAUAAAAAUGGGAAGCACCGUCCCGUCCGGACACAUCAAUUGCUAUUCAAAAUAGUUUAUACUUUAGGAAAGGUGAGAUAGGCGACUGGGCAAAUCACUUGACACCUGAGAUGGGAGCGCGUCUAGAUGACAUAAUGGAGCGGAAGCUCAAGGGUUCAGGCUUGAAGCUGCCCAGGUGACCGUGCCUGGGGUCCCAUUUGCAUAUGAUUAUUGCCGAAGUGGGUUCAUCAAAAGGUGUUAUCAGGAUGUCGUGAAACAGCAACUGUGUAUCCCAAUAAAUACCCUCUCUGUUCAUAGCAAGUAUUCACAUUUUGUGAAUCUUCCAUGUCAAUAAGCAAUAUUCUUUUGUGAAUCUGUGUUUGUGACUUUCAUUGAUUUCCUUGCAUGUUUGUAAGAAUUCAAAAUGGGAUUCGUUUUUUUUUUUUAUUUAACACAAGUGCAUGCAUUCCAUUCAUCAGUUUGAUAAAAAAUAAAUUUACUCUAAUAUAUAAUAUUAGAGUGUUUUCUUCACAGAAAUUGCAGUGUGUUUUUCUUCACAGCUAUACAUGUUUGAAAAGAACCGAGACAACCAUACAUGAGGGUGGAGCAAAGACCAACCGAGACAACCAUCCAUUAAGAUUGUUGAAUUGCAGAUCAAAUGAACGUAGGCGGCACAUCUACUGAAAGGAUCUCGAAAUGCCUUGUAAUUGGUUAAAAUAAAAGAUCAAGAUCUGUAGGAGAACUCGUGUUUUCCACUCCUAAAAUAAGCCCAGUUGCCGGCUUCAUUUGCAACAGAGACACAUAAAGAAUCUGAAAGCAGUUCUUAUGCACUAUCAGCAAAAUAAUUUGACCAGUCAGAAUGAUUUUUUUCCCCCUUACUAGGCUCAGAUCACAAUCCUUCUUACUUCAAACAAAUCUUUUGGAACCGAUAUGUCGAGGGAUGGCUUGAUUUAUACCGGAGAUUUUGAUGGAAACUUAAAGAAGCGUGGCUUAAUUAUACCUUGGAUGCGCAAAUUGAUUACAGGGAAAAAAUGACAGAAAGUGAGUUGCAGGGAAUGAAAAAGGCAUUUGUAAACUCAACACCUUUCAGGGCAUCGUUCCUUGGUUUACUCCCUUUUAUUUCUUAUUUUGUUUUUCCUGCCAUUGUCUAAGUUUUUCUAACUCGCAGUCUGGUCUCUGCAGAGAAUGAGACAGCAAAAACGCUUUAAGAGAAGAUAUUCUCCGGCAACGGCAUCAAACAGAAAAGUCUGACAUCAACUAAGUGCGUGUUUGACACUCCGGUUAUGUUUACAUAAAAAACAUCGUUGUCAUGUGUUUGGUUACAGUCUAAACAUAAUUUUCUGUUUGUGAGACCCGUUAUCAUUUGCUUUUAAACCGCAAGAUAACCAAAAGCAACUUCAAGCUGCCUUUUGUGUUGAGUUGCAAACUUUAUAAACAAAGGCCACAAGAAAAAGAGCAGAAACAUAGCAGUGAAUAGUAAACAGUGGAGAGUAGCUCCCUCUCACCACCGGCAUCCACCGUUUCCACCGCCAGCCACUGCUCUUCCUCUUCCCCUUCUCCUUCUCCUUUAUCUUCUGCAUUGUCCACUGUUCACGUUGCAUGUGAACAGUGGAGAGCAGCUCACCACCGGCCUCCGCUGUUUCCACCGCCAGCCACUACUCUUCCUCUUUCCCUUCCCCUUCUUCUUCUUCUUCUACAUUUUCCACUGUUCACAUGAACAGUGGAGAGCAUCUCCACUAUUCAUGGCCGGAUUGGGUCUGACCCAAACCUAAAUGCAUUGGACUGGGUCCGACCAAGUAAAAUAAAAAAAUCUAAAAACAUUUCUUAGAUAUUGUGUUUUAUUUGAAAAACUAGUGUUUAAAAUUAUUCAAUGACACUAUAUAAUUAUAUUAGAAGGAGAUCGCAUGAUGACAUAGCAUUUGCAGAAUUUGAUUGCAAUCCCAAUUUUGUUCCUAAUGAUAUUUUACCUGAUGUGAUGAUAUUUUACCUGAUGUUGGUAUACGUUCAAGAAGCCAUGAAAACUGUAGUUCUUGUCGGAUGGAUUUCGUACGUGAUUGAAUUGCAAAUAGUUUAAUAAAACAAUAAAAAAUACUUUAUAUAAAGUAUUGUUUAUUUCAUGAUUUAAUAGCAGUAGUUAAAUCUAUAAUAUUUCAAUUAAAAACCAUCAAUAUUAAUAUAUGUUUUUUUUAAUUAUUUUAUAACCUUAAUUUGAAAAAUAUUCUUUAAACCAAACACAUUAAACUACUUUUUGUUCAACCUCAAUUUCAACCACAAUUUUAACCAAAUAUAUAUUUUUUCAAACCAAUCUCAACUAAAAGUAAUUUUUAUAAAACAACUUUUUCAAACUAUAACCACAACAGCUACCACAAUACCAAAUACACAUAAAAAAAACUGUAAUGAUAAGCAAGUUAAAGUGCCACCAUUGAUUUAGGAUCUGCUUUAGAUCUUAUAAGGUGAAAGUAAAACACAAGGAAAUGCAUGCAUGCACACCACUAAUCUUUGAUUCUGGCGAGAACAGUGAUGACUACACUCAGAACCAUAUAGAAUUACAUUCCAAGAUGAAGAAAUUAAUAACAGAGCAGUGCUAUAAAGCUAAAUGUGAGAACCAAAGAUUAAUAAGCAAUGCUGAAAAUUUUAUCAUGCAUAAGAUGAGAGAAGCACAGGACAGAUUUUAUCAAAUCUAUAGUUUUUCUUCAAUAAUAAUAAUAUUUUUUAAAAAUUUAAUAAUAAUAAAAAAAAAAAACUCAUGUUCCUUGGCUCUUUCUCUUGCCAAACUGAAGCUACCAUAGUCAAAUCCAAGUAACUUAGAUGUCACGCUCUUGCUAAACCCAAGUUAUUUGGGUAUGACAUCUCAUGCUGGACUCAUAGCAUUCCAGAUCAAAGGUGUUGAUAUCUAACAAUAAUACCUCACCCGAGCCCUAAGAUGUGAUUGCUUUUCUAGACCCGAGGGCCAAGGCACCAAGACACUAUUCACUAUAAGUCAAGUCAAUGAAUCAAUCAAUCGAUUUUAAAGAUCAAGUUUUUUUUUUAAUAGAGAAACAAAACUUUUAUUAACAUUGAAAUAACUCUUAAAAUCUUAAUAAAAUUAAUUUGAAGUAAAAAUAAUAUUAAAAGAAAUAUUCAGAAGCACUUUUUGAUUGUAAAAUCAAACACACUAAAAUCAUGUAGAUUUUCAUUUAGACAUUAAAAUUCAAGAAGAAAUUAAGUUCACAGUACUAUUAAUUCAAUCGAUGAAGGAUUAGACCCAACUACUUUAGGGCCACCAUUGACAUUGAUUACUUUGAAUAAUUUUAAUUUAUAGGCAUAAAAAAUUAAUACAUAUCUUUAAGAGGAUCAAUUUUAGAUUAUCUCUCUCUCUCUCUCUCUAUUUUUUUUUUGGUUUUCAAAUAUUUGACAUUUUCGUUUAGAUAAGCUCUAGUGUGUGUUUUUUUAAGAUUAUUUUAAAUCAUGUUUCUUGAAAUGUCAAAAACAUUUCAUGGAUUAAUUUAACUUAAUAACGCCAAAGAAUUAGGAAUUAAAACUGACAAUUUCCACCAUGUAAGAGUACCUAAUUGAAAAUUUACUUUCUUAUCAUUUACCUCAAUUAAGCGGAAGCAUGAUCAUGAGAAGGGAUUUGGAGAAAGAAUUAUAAACAGAGAAUAAGAGAAAAUGUAAUGUGUAUAGAUUUUCUUAAUGAAUUAAUUAUGAUACAACAGAAGCUCAUAUAUAUAUAUAUAUACAUUCUAAACUAAUCAGUUAUGAAAUGUUAUUACAAAUAUAAUUUGAAUUUCAAUUUUAAAAUCAUGAUUAGUGCAGGUUUAUCAAUGCAGCAGAAUAUCCAUCAUAAACAAGAAGUUCACAGUUACAAAGUUUGAAUCUUUGUAACUGUAACUCUCUUUUGAAACUCUCUUCUUGGUCUUCAAUAUCCGUUAGCUAGCUGGAGAUGUAACAGUUACAAAGUUUGAAUCUUUGUAACUGUAACUCUCUUCUUGGUCUUCAAUGUCUGUCAGUUACAAAGUUUGAAUCUUUGUAACUGUAACUCUCUUAUGCUUAACAUUCCCCUGCAAACUGAUGGGGAUAGGAAUCACCAUCAAUUUGGACCGUAAAAACAUAAACCUUGCUGUAGUAUGACCUUUGGUGAAGACAUCUGCAAUCUGGUCAUAUGUUGAAAUAUAUCGUACAAGAAUAUCCUUAUUAAGAACUUUUUCACGGAUGAAGUGAUAAUCCACCUCUAUGUGCUUCGUUCGGGCAUGAAAAACAGGAUUAGAGGCAAGAGAUAUUGCACCUACAUUAUCACACCAUAGUGUAGGAGGUGACGACAAUGAAAUGCCAAGAUCUUGCAAUAACAUUCGAAGCCAAUAUAGUUCAGCAGUGACAAGAGCCAUGGAUCGAUAUUCGGCCUCAGUACUGGAUUUAGACACAACACUUUGUUUCUUUGCACUCCAGGAUAUGAGAUUUUGGCCUAGAAACACAAUAUAACCACUUGUAGAUUUUCUAUCAUCAGGAUUCCCAGCCCAAUCUGCAUCACAGAAAGCAUCUAAUGUUGUUGUCGAUUGAGUGUAGUGAAUACCAUAAUCAAUUGUUCCUUUCAAGUAACGAAGAACUCUUUUGGUAGCAAUCCAGUGUGGUUCUCGUGGAGCAUGCAUGAAUUGGCAUAAUUGGUUCACUGCAUAGCUGAUGUCAGGUCUUGUUAAAGUGCAAUAUUGAAGAGCACCAAUAACUUGAUGAUAUUCAGUUGGAUCAUUCAAUAUCCGUUAGCUAGCUGGAGAUGUAACAGUUACAAAGUUUGAAUCUUUGUAACUGUAACUCUCUUAUGCUUAACAUUUGGGAGGCACUUAGAUUAGGCUCUUCUCUAGUCUUGAGAAGCAAAACCAAUAGAGACGUGAUUGCGCACUCCCUGAGCUAUAUAGUAAGUGGCUGCAAACAAAUUGUCAGCACCAAUUCAGGUCCGGAAAAUUAAAGCAUUGAAGCAUAAAAGGUGACCUAACCUAAUUAAGCAAAUUACUACUUAUUCCAGCAUCACCUAGGAGUGAGACAGCCAGCCCAUCCAGUGUCUACAUGGUAAGGGAAUAAUUCCUUCAAGAAUGCAGAGAAAAUUAUACUUGCAAUACAACUAUAAACGAGAUGGUACAGUGCGGAAGGCAAGAUGUUAAAUCAAUUGAUCUUAUUAUAAUACUGUGAAAUAUGAUCAGGACAAAAAAAUAAAUAAAGAAAGAAAGAGUUGUUUAUUUUACAAUGAUCGAUAUGAUGCUUCUUUGCAUGUGGAAUCUUCGUCAAAGACUUGUUGAAAAUGCCAAAUUGUGAUCCACUUUUGGCUGUGUCAAAUGCAUGGGUGGGGCUUCACACAGAGCUAUUACCCCUUGUGUAAACUCAACGCCAGUUUUCAUGAGUUCUUUGGGAUUCUAACAUAGUAAAAAAAAGAAAGAUAAAAUAACAAAGUGUAAAGAAUAUUUAGUGAAAUAGAUAUUCGUGAUUAAUCAGUAGCAAUUAUUAUAUGCUGGCUCUCUCGGGUUUACUUGACAGAAGAUUUAUUAAAAAGAGUUGAUAAAGGAGAAAGAAAAGAAAAGAAAAUCUUCAAGGUAUAUCAAAACUCUGAUAAUAAUAUUAUUGGUAUUGUUAAAAAAAUCUCGACAAGACAAAUCGAAAAAUAACAAUGAAGGUCAUCAAUGACGAUAAAAAUAAGUCAUACGAGUGGCCCAAGAUAAGUGAGUUUUAAUACUUUUGAACAGCUUGUAUGAUUCAUUUUAUUCACUAUUUAUAAUCUUUUUUGAUGCUGUUAAAUUCAUCUUGUAAUGAUGUUGAUAAUGUUAUCAUUAUAAUUUCAAUGUAUUUUUAUUUUUAUUAUUAUUUUUUGUUUUGCUCUCUCUCCUCUCUCAUUGUAAUUUAUGAAGAGUAAGAGAGGGGGAAAAAAAAAACCCUAGUCUUCCAAUUUAAUCUGGCUGAAUACUACUAUCUCAAUCUUAUUCACUACUUUGUCAAAGCAAAGUAGAUUUUUCCUUAAAUAAGAUCUAAUCCACCGGCGGAUAGGUGAUCAAGAAUAUUAAAUUAGUGUAAAACUUGAUUUAAUUCAACAUUAUAAUUAGAGGUGCUAUAAUAAUGUGAAAAAAAGAAUAAAAAAACUAGAUGAUGGCGACCACAUAUCAAUAAUUCCAGACAUCACGUGGAGCACUUUCAUCAUCAUUAUUAUUAUUGGUAUAAUAAUGUUUGUUGUAUUAUUUUUUAAUUGUUAAGUUGUUUACUAUAUGUUAAAAUUUCAAGAUCUUCAAAGAUUGGGAAGAUCGGAUCUAAAGUUACUAUGGGACUGUCUUUAUUUUCCUAUUUGGAUUUUUUUAUUUAUAUUAAGAAUUUAAAUUUAAUUAGUAUUUUAUUAUUUAAAAAUUUUAAUGGUAAAUUGAUUCUAUUAGUUAGGUAAAUUUUAAAUAUAAAUUAUUUUUCUAUACAAAAUUUUAAAUCUAGAACUAAUAUAAAUAAAAAUAUUUAGUUUAUUUUUGUUCGAGGAUUCAUAUUAUUAUUUAAAUUUUUUUAUAAAUAUUUAGAGAUUUUUUCUAAUUUCCUAUGGUGUUAGGGAUUAUAACCUUAAGGUUUGGUUUGAAAUAAUGAUGACAGUUAUUUCUUAAAGUGUUUUUCACUUGAAAAUACAUUAAAAUAAUAUUUUUUUUAUUUUUUAAAUUUUUUUUUGAUAUCAGCAUAUCAAAACAAUUCAAAAACACCAAAAACUUAAUUUGAAAAAAAAUCAAAAUUUAUAAAAACCCCGGUUAAAAUGUUUUACCAAACACUUCUUAGUUUUUAAUAUUAAUACAUCAAAACAAUCCAAAAAUAUUAAUUUAAAAUUUUUAAAAACUCCGGUUGCGUUUGUAAGAUGUGUUGCGGCUCUCAACUUGCUACAAUGGCCUUUCUUUAAUAUUUUAUUUACACCAUUCAUGGAACCCUCUUUGCCUUCCACACAAAUCCCGGAUUUUGGUGAAACUGCUAAGAGGAAAAAUGAAGAGCUUUCCAAAGGCCAUGCUAAAACUACAAAGAAGUGAUCUCUACCUUUCCAGAAGUUAAAGGCUUUUGGGACGUUCCGCUCUUCUUGGGAAGACUCAUGUCAGUUCAAGAACACUACAAGCCUCAAUCCACUGAUAUAUUUGUCGCCAGCUUUCCAAAAACGAAGGAAAUCUUUGGUUAAUGUUCUCUGAAUCUCUCCUUUUCUCCUUCAAGAGUGAAAUUUAUGUGCCUUUCGUACCUUUUUACGUUAGAACAUUUCAUUUGUUCUUGUUUUCUAAAUUGAGUCUUUUCUAUGCGUUUUAUUAUUUUAUUUAUUGGGUAUUUGAGAGUGUAGUAAUAGUUAUAAUUUAAAGUGUUUUUAUUCAAAAAUAUAUUAAAAUAAUAUAUAUUUUUAAUUUUUUAAUAUUCAUCUUUUGACAACAUCACUCCAAAACAUUAGAAAACAUAAAAAAAAAAAAAACAAUUAGAAAACAAUUAGAAAACGCAAGAUUGCAUCAAUGCUAAAUGCAAUAUAUAUAUAUAGGUGCGCGCGCGCGCGUGUGUGAGAGAGAGAGAGAUCCACCUGUGUGUGAAAUGCAUAGUGAUGUUCCACAGCGAGCCAUUAUCUAUUAUGUAAAAUCUCUGAGAAAUGUCAUAGAUCAAUUGGUCGAUAUAGCAAAUUGAUAGGUUAAAGCUGCUCAUAAUCAAUACCUCUAAAAGAUUAUCUUUGGUGGAGAUGAAAACUUUUUGAUAUGUAAAUAAGUAUUUAAAAAAAAAUUAAAUAUUCUAUAAAGAGAUGUUCUGAAAAUACAAAUGCAGUAGAGAAUUGGAGAUUGUGAAUCUUUAUUAUGAAGGUCUCAUGAUAUAUUUAUAGCUCGAAUCUUGUCAUUUUGUGAAAAUAAGAGUUUGCAGUGUAAUUAACCUGAUAACAUUUAAUGAGGAAUAAAUAUCAUUUACAUGAUGGGAAUAUGGUGGGUCCUCGAAGGAGUUUUAUACACCUUAAAAGGUAUCAGAAAAUUAGAGUUUAAGAUAUCAAGUGUAGCUGAGCUUAUAGAGAUCAAGUUCUUUCUUGAGAUUAAAUCCAAGGGAGGUUUGUCAUUCCCCUGGACAUGCCAAGGAAGAAUGGUUAUUAUCUUGGACUUGGUUGGUUGCCAAAUCCAAGCAUCUUGGGCAUGACAUGCGUGCCAGAUCCACACUACCUUGAAGUUGGAGCACUACUAAGUCCAAGCGCCUCGGGUCUGACAUGCAUGCCAGACUUAUACUACGCUGGACUUGGUGCAUUACUAAGUCCAAAUGCCUUGGGUCUGAUAUGCCUGUUAGACCUAUAUUAUCUUGGGCUUGACGCAUUACUAUAUUCAAGCACCUUGAACUUAAUUAAUUGUCAAGUCCAUGCAUCUUAGAUUUAGAUCUAACAUAUACACUAGACUCAUAUUACAUUGAAUCUAGCGCAUUACAAAGUUAUAAUGCCUUGAAUUAAGUAUAUGUGCCACAUCCAUACAUUUUAAAAAACCAAACGAAAACUAAAUAAAAAGUUGACUCAUCGCUAAUCUAUAAAUACUAUCUACAUAAUGGCCUUAGUUGAUAUCUUCUACCGCUUACUACAUUUACUUGAAUAAUGAAAAUGUUUUUUUUUUUUAAUGGAAAAGAGAUUUUAACUCCAUCUUCAAUUACUAUAUAAAUGUUUCCUUGGGUUUUGAAAACGCAAUCAUGCUAAAAAUUUAUUAUCUAAUAUAAAAUAAAAUGUAUUUGUUUUUAUAUUUUAAAAAUGUUUUUUUUUUAAUUUUUUAAUUUUCAUCUUGUUUUGAUGUGUUAAUAUUAAUAAUAAAUUUUAAAAAUAAAAAAAAUAUUAUUUUAAUAUAUUUUUUAAAUUAAAAAUAUUUUAAAAAAUAACUAUUACAACAUUAACGAAUAAGAUUUAAUAUAAAAAACAUUCUAAUUGCAUCAGCUGAGAGGUGAUCAACAAUACCGCAUUCCCGAACUUCACAUCCCUAUAUUAAUGGAUUGUGUUGUGGGCUCCACGCCAUUUAAAGCUUGUAAGAGAAACCACACCUCUAAAUAGAAACCACACGAUCACGCUAAAAGAUUUGCUAUCGAAUAUAAUAUGAAAUAAAACCCAAUUGCAUCAGCGGACAUGUGAUCAAUAAUAUUAAAAUAAGGUAAUAGUUGAUGGGCCACAAAUUAAACCAGCUCUCAACUCGCUACAAAUAGCUGCCAUGGCCUUUCAUUCUACGUUAUAUUUUCAUUUUUUACAUUCAUGGAAUCCUCUUUGCCUUCCACCCAAAUCUCGGAUUCUGGUGACAGUGCAGAGAGGAAAAAUGAAGCUAAAAAUUACAAUGAAGUGAUGUCCACCUUUCCGAAAGUUAAAGGCUUGAAUGGGUAUGAUUAUUACCUGUACCAAGGCUUUUGGUACGCUCCCUUCUUCUUGGAAGGACUCUUGUCUGUUCAAGAGCGCUUCAAUCCUCAAUCCACUGAUAUAUUUGUCGCCAGUUGUCCAAAAACUGGCACAACUUGGCUUAAGGCCCUCACUUUUGCUAUUUUCACACGAUCCCGUUUAAGUGGUUCAACAACUAGUUCUUUACUUACCAAGAUGCCACAUGACUGUGUUCCUUUUUUGGAAUAUCACCUUGCUCAAAACCCCAGUAAUCGGGACUUGGCAAUUCCUCUGGUAUCUACUCAUGUUCCUUGCACUUGUUUACCUAAAUCUAUCAUUUCUUCUUGUUGCAAGAUUAUUUACAUUUCCAGGGACGCAAAGGAUGCUUUUGUUUCUUUGUGGUACUUUCUUGCCAGGCUGCAAAUGUCGAAAAAUGUUGAACCUCUUCCUCUGGAAGAGGCAUUUGAGUUGUUUUGCAAUGGAAUUGCAAAUUUUGGACCAUAUUGGGACCAUGUUUUAGGGUAUUGGAGAGCAAGCUUC